CCGGCGACUGUUAUAAGCUGAUGGGAAAUGGUUCUCUCUAGUGAUGAUCAUUUUGACUUGAUACACUUGAUGCUUAUGAGUGACUUACUUGUGAAUUGUAAUUGAUGUGUUUGUUAUGUGCGACUAAACUACUUGUCAUUGAGAUUGACUUAUUUGAUUUGUUAGAUUGUUGAUUUGUGAAGGUUGAAAUGUGAAUAUUGGAUAUGUGAGCCGUGUAUAUAAGAAUUGCUAGGUUGGGCUGAUUUCUGUGCAAGUUGUAGUUUUAAGAGGUUCGGUUGGAGUGUAAGGGGUAUUUGAUUUCUAGCUAGUUGUUUUGUUUAGUAGGUUGCUGAUCCGAACCGUAA
This 344-nucleotide long non-coding RNA is filed under the name Solanum tuberosum (potato). Its description in RNAcentral is "long non-coding RNA (STUB_LNC003519)". The record is from RNAcentral. Lineage: Eukaryota; Viridiplantae; Streptophyta; Magnoliopsida; Solanales; Solanaceae.